This 448-nucleotide ribosomal RNA is filed under the name uncultured Sphingobacteriales bacterium. RNAcentral describes it as "bacterial SSU rRNA". It matches the Rfam family "Bacterial small subunit ribosomal RNA", at positions 933 to 1382 of the family's 1533-position model. Lineage: Bacteria; Pseudomonadati; Bacteroidota; Sphingobacteriia; Sphingobacteriales. The record is from RNAcentral.
UGGAGCAUGUGGUUUAAUUCGAUGAUACGCGAGGAACCGUUACCUGGGCUCAAAUGUAUGUUGACGUAUUCUGAAAGGGAUACUUCUUCGGACAAUAUACAAGGUGCUGCAUGGUUGUCGUCAGCUCGUGCCGUGAGGUGUCGGGUUAAGUCCCAUAACGAGCGCAACCCCUAUCAUUAGUUGCCAUCAGGUCAAGCUGGGGACUCUAAUGAAACUGCCUACGCAAGUAGUGAGGAAGGUGGGGAUGACGUCAAAUCAGCACGGCCCUUACGUCCAGGGCUACACACGUGCUACAAUGGCCGGUACAAAGGGCAGCUACCUGGUGACAGGAUGCUAAUCUCAAAAGCCGGUCUCAGUUCGGAUCGGAAUCUGCAACCCGACUCCGUGAGGCUGGAAUCGCUAGUAAUCGCGCAUCAGCCAUGGCGCGGUGAAUACGUUCCCGGGCCUU